This 253-nucleotide ribosomal RNA is filed under the name uncultured bacterium. RNAcentral's name for it is "partial 16S ribosomal RNA". It matches the Rfam family "Bacterial small subunit ribosomal RNA", at positions 524 to 776 of the family's 1533-position model. The record is from RNAcentral.
UACGUAGGGCGCAAGCGUUAUCCGGAAUUAUUGGGCGUAAAGAGCUCGUAGGCGGUUUGUCGCGUCUGCCGUGAAAGUCCGGGGCUCAACUCCGGAUCUGCGGUGGGUACGGGCAGACUAGAGUGAUGUAGGGGAGACUGGAAUUCCUGGUGUAGCGGUGAAAUGCGUAGAUAUCUGGAGGAACACCGGUGGCGAAGGCGGCAUUCUGGACCGACAUUGACGCUGAGGCGCGAAAGCUAGGGGAGCAAACGGG